AGCAGCCGCGGUAAUUCCAGCUCCAAUAGCGUAUAUUAAAGUUGUUGCAGUUAAAAAGCUCGUAGUUGAAUUUCGGGAUUAAUAUGCUGGUCGUGCCAUUGGUACGUACUAGUACUAUUGAUUUCUCCCUUCUGAUGAAUCAUGAUGUCAUUAAUUUGAUGUCAUGGGGAAUCAGGACUGUUACUUUGAAAAAAUUAGAGUGUUUAAAGCAGGCUCGCGCUUGAA
This 225-nucleotide ribosomal RNA is filed under the name uncultured Glomus. RNAcentral describes it as "partial 18S ribosomal RNA". It matches the Rfam family "Eukaryotic small subunit ribosomal RNA", at positions 569 to 799 of the family's 1831-position model. Lineage: Eukaryota; Fungi; Glomeromycota; Glomeromycetes; Glomerales; Glomeraceae. The record is from RNAcentral.